AUCAACUUUCGAUGGUAGGAUAGAGGCCUACCAUNGNGNUAANGGGUAACGGGGUGUUAGGGCACGACACCGGAGAGGGAGCCUGAGAAACGGCUACCACAUCCAAGGAUGGCAGCAGGCGCGCAAAUUACCCAAUCCCGACACGGGGAGGUAGUGACAAUAAAUAACAAUACGGGGUUCUUUCGGAUCUCGUAAUUGGAAUGAGUACAAUUUAAAUCUCUUAACGAGGAACAAUUGGAGGGCAAGUCUGGUGCCAGCAGCCGCGGUAAUUCCAGCUCCAAUAGCGUAUAUUAAAGUUGUUGCAGUUAAAAAGCUCGUAGUUGAAUUUCGGGACCAAUAUGUCGGUCGUGCUUCGGUACGUACUUGCAUUAUUGGUUUCUCCCUUCUGAAGAACCAUGAUGUCAUUAAUUUGGUGUCUUGGGGAAUCAGGACUGUUACUUUGAAAAAAUUAGAGUGUUUAAAGCAGGCUCACGCUUGAAUACAUUAGCAUGGAAUAAUGAAAUAGGACGUUUGAUUCUAUUUUGUUGGUUUCUAGGAUCGACGUAAUGAUUAAUAGGGAUAGUUGGGGGCAUUAGUAUUCAAUUGUCAGAGGUGAAAUUCUUGGAUUUAUUGAAGACUAACUACUGCGAAAGCAUUUGCCAAGGAUGUUUUCAUUAAUCAAGAACGAAAGUUAGGGGAUCGAAGACGAUCAGAUACCGUCGUAGUCUUAACCAUAAACUAUGCCGACUAGGGAUCGGAUGAUGUUAAUUUUUUAAUGACUCAUUCGGCGCCUUACGGGAAACCAAAGUGUUUGGGUUC
This 798-nucleotide ribosomal RNA is filed under the name uncultured Glomus. RNAcentral's name for it is "SSU rRNA". It matches the Rfam family "Eukaryotic small subunit ribosomal RNA", at positions 314 to 1114 of the family's 1831-position model. Lineage: Eukaryota; Fungi; Glomeromycota; Glomeromycetes; Glomerales; Glomeraceae. The record is from RNAcentral.